Molecule: unclassified non-coding RNA, 327 nt
Filed under: soil metagenome
Description: partial contains 5.8S ribosomal RNA, internal transcribed spacer 2, and large subunit ribosomal RNA
Rfam family: 5.8S ribosomal RNA (bases 1-120)
Source: RNAcentral
GAUGAAGAACGUAGCGAAAUGCGAUAAGUAAUGUGAAUUGCAGAAUUCAGUGAAUCAUCGAAUCUUUGAACGCUCAUUGCGUCCCUUGGUAUUCCGAGGGGCAUGCCUGUUCGAGCGUCAUUAUAACCCCUCAAGCUCGGCUUGGUGUUGGGGCCUGCCGCACGGGCAGCCCUUAAAAUCAGUGGCGGUGCCAUCUGGCUCUAAGCGUAGUAAUUCUUCUCGCUAUAGAGUCCCGGUGGAUGCUUGCCAUUAACCCCCAAUUUCAAUGGUUGACCUCGGAUCAGGUAGGGAUACCCGCUGAACUUAAGCAUAUCAAUAAGCGGAGGA